This 429-nucleotide ribosomal RNA is filed under the name Actinomycetes bacterium. RNAcentral describes it as "Actinobacteria bacterium partial 16S ribosomal RNA". It matches the Rfam family "Bacterial small subunit ribosomal RNA", at positions 355 to 776 of the family's 1533-position model. The record is from RNAcentral. Lineage: Bacteria; Bacillati; Actinomycetota; Actinomycetes.
UAGGGAAUCUUCCGCAAUGGGCGAAAGCCUGACGGAGCAACGCCGCGUGAGUGAUGAAGGUCUUCGGAUCGUAAAACUCUGUUAUUAGGGAAGAACAAAUGUGUAAGUAACUAUGCACGUCUUGACGGUACCUAAUCAGAAAGCCACGGCUAACUACGUGCCAGCAGCCGCGGUAGUACGUAGGGGGCAAGCGUUGUCCGGAAUUAUUGGGGGUAAAGCGCGAGUAGGCGGUUUUUUAAGUCUGAUGGGAAAGCCCACGGCGCAACCGUCGAGGGUCAUUGGAAGCUGGAAAACUUGAGUGGAGAAGAGGAAAGUGGAAUUCCAUGUGUAGCGGUGAAAUGCGCAGAGAUAUGGAGGAACACCAGUGGCGAAGGCGACUUUCUGGUCUGUAACUGACGCUGAUGUGCGAAAGCGUGGGGAUCAAACAGG